GACGAACGCUGGCGGCGUGCUUAACACAUGCAAGUCGAACGGAAAGGCCCUGCUUUUGUGGGGUGCUCGAGUGGCGAACGGGUGAGUAACACGUAAGUAACCUGCCCUUGACUUUGGGAUAACGUCAGGAAACUGGGGCUAAUACCGGAUAGGAGCUCCUGCUGCAUGGUGGGGGUUGGAAAGUUUCGGCGGUUGGGGAUGGACUCGCGGCUUAUCAGCUUGUUGGUGGGGUAGUGGCUUACCAAGGCUUUGACGGGUAGCCGGCCUGAGAGGGUGACCGGCCACAUUGGGACUGAGAUACGGCCCAGACUCCUACGGGAGGCAGCAGUGGGGAAUAUUGCACAAUGGGCGGAAGCCCGAUGCAGCAACGCCGCGUGCGGGAUGACGGCCUUCGGGUUGUAAACCGCUUUCGCCUGUGACGAAGCGUGAGUGACGGUAAUGGGUAAAGAAGCACCGGCUAACUACGUGCCAGCAGCCGCGGUGAUACGUAGGGUGCGAGCGUUGUCCGGAUUUAUUGGGCGUAAAGGGCUCGUAGGUGGUUGAUCGCGUCGGAAGUGUAAUCUUGGGGCUUAACCCUGAGCGUGCUUUCGAUACGGGUUGACUUGAGGAAGGUAGGGGAGAAUGGAAUUCCUGGUGGAGCGGUGGAAUGCGCAGAUAUCAGGAGGAACACCAGUGGCGAAGGCGGUUCUCUGGGCCUUUCCUGACGCUGAGGAGCGAAAGCGUGGGGAGCGAACAGGCUUAGAUACCCUGGUAGUCCACGCUGUAAACGGUGGGUACUAGGUGUGGGGUCCAUUCCACGGGUUCCGUGCCGUAGCUAACGCUUUAAGUACCCCGCCUGGGGAGUACGGCCGCAAGGCUAAAACUCAAAGGAAUUGACGGGGCCCCGCACAAGCGGCGGAGCAUGCGGAUUAAUUCGAUGCAACGCGUAGAACCUUACCUGGGUUUGACAUGGAUCGGGAGUGCUCAGAGAUGGGUGUGCCUCUUUUGGGGUCGGUUCACAGGUGGUGCAUGGCUGUCGUCAGCUCGUGUCGUGAGAUGUUGGGUUAAGUCCCGCAACGAGCGCAACCCUUGUUCACUGUUGCCAGCACGUUAUGGUGGGGACUCAGUGGAGACCGCCGGGGUCAACUCGGAGGAAGGUGGGGAUGACGUCAGGUCAUCAUGCCCCUUAUGUCCAGGGCUUCACGCAUGCUACAAUGGCUGGUACAGAGAGUGGCGAGCCUGUGAGGGUGAGCGAAUCUCGGAAAGCCGGUCUCAGUUCGGAUUGGGGUCUGCAACUCGACCUCAUGAAGUCGGAGUCGCUAGUAAUCGCAGAUCAGCAACGCUGCGGUGAAUACGUUCCCGGG
Molecule: ribosomal RNA, 1343 nt
Filed under: uncultured bacterium
Lineage: Bacteria
Description: 16S ribosomal RNA
Rfam family: Bacterial small subunit ribosomal RNA
Source: RNAcentral